CUAUGCCUGACAUCUGUUUCAAGCAAAUACCAUCUUUUGUAGGUGUUUUCCAAUCCUACAGCCACCACAACAGGAAAAGGGGAGCAGACUCCUGUGGCUUGCUCCCAGACUGGUCCACGGCUUGGAGCCUGUGAGCCCCACCUCCAUUGGAGGUUGCGCCUGCCUUGCAGGCCUGCUGCCCUCCUUUGACUGCUAAG
Molecule: long non-coding RNA, 197 nt
Organism: Sphaerodactylus townsendi
Lineage: Eukaryota; Metazoa; Chordata; Lepidosauria; Squamata; Sphaerodactylidae
Exons: 2
Source: RefSeq, a predicted model, not a curated record